GUUAAAGAAGAGUGUCACAUGGAGGAAGAAGGAAACUGAAUCUCUGUGUCUCCAGAAGGCAGUUCUAGGACCAGUGCAUGGGAAUUUCAGGGAACAGAUAUGGGUUCAUGUUAAGGAAAAUCUUGCUAAGUGAGCUGCUCAAUGCUGCUUUUAAAGAUGAGCAAACUGAGUCUCAGUUGCUAUGUCCAGCAUCACAGUAGGUACUAAGUAAAUGGAGG
This 218-nucleotide long non-coding RNA is filed under the name Homo sapiens (human). RNAcentral describes it as "non-protein coding lnc-HOOK1-3:1". The record is from RNAcentral. Lineage: Eukaryota; Metazoa; Chordata; Mammalia; Primates; Hominidae.